RNAcentral lists this ribosomal RNA (676 nucleotides) under Nocardia sp. MS259f. RNAcentral describes it as "bacterial SSU rRNA". It matches the Rfam family "Bacterial small subunit ribosomal RNA", at positions 1 to 700 of the family's 1533-position model. The record is from RNAcentral. Lineage: Bacteria; Bacillati; Actinomycetota; Actinomycetes; Mycobacteriales; Nocardiaceae.
UAGAGUUUGAUCCUGGCUCAGGACGAACGCUAGCGGCGUGCUUAACACAUGCAAGUCGAGCGGUAAGGCCCUUCGGGGUACACGAGCGGCGAACGGGUGAGUAACACGUGGGUGAUCUGCCUUGCACUUCGGGAUAAGCCUGGGAAACCGGGUCUAAUACCGGAUAUGACCAUGAGAUGCAUGUCUUGUGGUGGAAAGAUUUAUCGGUGCGAGAUGGGCCCGCGGCCUAUCAGCUUGUUGGUGAGGUAACGGCUCACCAAGGCGACGACGGGUAGCCGACCUGAGAGGGUGACCGGCCACACUGGGACUGAGACACGGCCCAGACUCCUACGGGAGGCAGCAGUGGGGAAUAUUGCACAAUGGGCGAAAGCCUGAUGCAGCGACGCCGCGUGCGGGAUGACGGCCUUCGGGUUGUAAACCGCUUUUGACAGGGACGAAGCGCAAGUGACUGUACCUGUAGAAUAAGGACCGGCCAACUACGUGCCAGCAGCCGCGGUAAUACGUAGGGUCCGAGCGUUGUCCGGAAUUACUGGGCGUAAAGAGCUUGUAGGCGGUUCGUCGCGUCGUUUGUGAAAACUUGGGGCUCAACCUUAAGCUUGCAGGCGAUACGGGCGGACUAGAGUACUUCAGGGGAGACUGGAAUUCCUGGUGUAGCGGUGAAAUGCGCAGAUAUCAG